AAUAGAUACCCAGGUAGUCCACGCCGUAAACGGUGGGUACUAGGUGUGGGUUCUUUCCUAAGGAUCCGUGCCGUAGCUAACGCAUUAAGUACCCCGCCUGGGGAGUACGGCCGCAAGGCUAAAACUCAAAGGAAUUGACGGGGGGCCCGCACAAGCGGCGGAGCAUGUGGAUUAAUUCGAUGCAACGCGAAGAACCUUACCUGGGUUUGACAUGCACAGGACGCGUCUAGAGAUAGGCGUUCCCUUGUGGCCUGUGUGCAGGUGGUGCAUGGCUGUCGUCAGCUCGUGUCGUGAGAUGUUGGGUUAAGUCCCGCAACGAGCGCAACCCUCGCCCCAUGUUGCCAGCGGGUGAUGCCGGGGACUCAUGGGAGACUGCCGAGGUCAACUCGGAGGAAGGUGGGGAUGACGUCAAGUCAUCAUGCCCCUUAUGUCCAGGGCUUCACACAUGCUACAAUGGCCGGUACAGAGGGCUGCGAAGCCGUGAGGUGGAGCGAAUCCCAGAAAGCCGGUCUCAGUUCGGAUCGGGGU
This 528-nucleotide ribosomal RNA is filed under the name uncultured bacterium. RNAcentral describes it as "bacterial SSU rRNA". It matches the Rfam family "Bacterial small subunit ribosomal RNA", at positions 777 to 1304 of the family's 1533-position model. The record is from RNAcentral.